GUAAGGAAUUUUCGGCAAUGGGGGAAACCCUGACCGAGCAACGCCGCGUGAGUGAUGAAGGCCUUUGGGUUGUAAAGCUCUGUUGUAAAGGAAGAACGUGCUAAGAAGGAAAUGUCUUAGUAUUGACGGUACUUUACCAGAAAGUCACGGCUUACUACGUGCCAGCAGCCGCGGUAAUACGUAGGUGGCAAGCGUUAUCCGGAAUUAUUGGGCGUAAAGGGUGCGCAGGCGGUUUAUUAAGUUUAGGGUGAAAGCGUUGAGCUUAACUCAAUACAGCCUUAAAAACUGAUAGACUAGAGUGCAGAAGAGGGUAGUGGAAUUCCAUGUGUAGCGGUAAAAUGCGUAGAUAUAUGGAGGAACACCAGUGGCGAAGGCGGCUACCUGGUCUGUAACUGACGCUCAGGCACGAAAGCGUGGGGAGCAAAUAGGAUUAGAAACCCUAGUAGUCC
RNAcentral lists this ribosomal RNA (449 nucleotides) under uncultured bacterium. RNAcentral's name for it is "bacterial SSU rRNA". It matches the Rfam family "Bacterial small subunit ribosomal RNA", at positions 354 to 796 of the family's 1533-position model. The record is from RNAcentral.